GGUAAUAUGGCCGAGAAAGGCAGUGAGCUGUAAAUUCAUGCAUAGGAGUCCAUCCUUAUUACCAAG
Molecule: transfer RNA, 66 nt
Filed under: Pachydactylus purcelli
Lineage: Eukaryota; Metazoa; Chordata; Lepidosauria; Squamata; Gekkonidae
Description: tRNA-Tyr
Rfam family: tRNA
About the family: Transfer RNA (tRNA) molecules are approximately 80 nucleotides in length. Their secondary structure includes four short double-helical elements and three loops (D, anti-codon, and T loops).
Source: RNAcentral